Molecule: non-coding RNA, 19 nt
Filed under: Arabidopsis thaliana (thale cress)
Lineage: Eukaryota; Viridiplantae; Streptophyta; Magnoliopsida; Brassicales; Brassicaceae
Source: RNAcentral
CCCAAGGCUCGCUUCGGCG